GCGCGCGUGGCGGAAAUGGUAGACGCGCUGGAUUUAGGUUCCAGUGUCGCAAGACGUGGGGGUUCAAGUCCCUCCGCGCGCACCA
RNAcentral lists this transfer RNA (85 nucleotides) under Sphingomonas telluris. RNAcentral's name for it is "tRNA-Leu". It matches the Rfam family "tRNA". From Rfam's summary of the family: Transfer RNA (tRNA) molecules are approximately 80 nucleotides in length. Their secondary structure includes four short double-helical elements and three loops (D, anti-codon, and T loops). Further hydrogen bonds mediate the characteristic L-shaped molecular structure. tRNAs have two regions of fundamental functional importance: the anti-codon, which is responsible for specific mRNA codon recognition, and the 3' end, to which the tRNAs corresponding amino acid is attached (by aminoacyl-tRNA synthetases). tRNAs cope with the degeneracy of the genetic code in two manners: having more than one tRNA (with a specific anti-codon) for a particular amino acid; and 'wobble' base-pairing, i.e. permitting non-standard base-pairing at the 3rd anti-codon position. Lineage: Bacteria; Pseudomonadati; Pseudomonadota; Alphaproteobacteria; Sphingomonadales; Sphingomonadaceae. The record is from RNAcentral.